Long non-coding RNA from Pipistrellus kuhlii (Kuhl's pipistrelle), 5807 nucleotides. RefSeq lists it as uncharacterized. NCBI's taxonomy places the organism in Eukaryota, Metazoa, Chordata, Mammalia, Chiroptera, Vespertilionidae. The record is from RefSeq and is a predicted model, not a curated record. The transcript has 4 exons.
ACUGAAAGAGACAGAAGCUUGUUAACAGAUUUCAUCUUUAUGUUUAAGGUUUUAAGUGAAGGACUUGCCCCUGAGGCCACUGCACGCGAAGAAUGGGAGCUGAGGUCGGGGCUCCGCCAGGAGAUGUUGUCACAACGCAGAGGUCACUACAGAGAGACAUGGUCCUGCCUUGCUCCCUUUUGACAAACACUGAGGCAGGGGGUGCCGGGAGCCCAGAGGUGGGUGCUGUGGUUCUCUCCGCUGACUUCCAUGUGUAUGUGAUUCCAGGACAGUGGCAAAGGCUAAUGUAGGAGACAACUCCAGGGGGAGGGCAAGUUAAGGAGGCACAGUUCAGAGGGGCCCGUGACUGAAGGCUGAGAGAGAAAGGUCAUUAAAGAAUAGGCCUGUUUGCCUUGAGCUGCCUCAUCCUAACAGAAAUGGACUGUAGAAGGUGGAGACAUGUGCCUAUGAUAUUAGGCAACUAGAAUUUCAGGUCUGAAGCACAGGAAAGAGGACUGGGUUGGAGAUAUGAAGGAGAAAAAGGGUGAGAAGGAAUCUUAGUGCCACCACUGGGAUACUGGGAAUGGGGAGGGACACCUGGAGUUGGCAGUGCUGCUUCCUUCUCUCCCCUCUCCUCGGACUUCUGCAGCUCCUAAACCAGUCUCCCUUUCCCCAGGUACAUCAGCUCAAGUGUCUGUCUGAGUGCGGCCCGUGUGCCAGGCUCCGGGGCACAGAAGCAGCUGACUGGUUCUCUCCCUGCCUAGCAGGUAAGCUGACCAUCUAGCCAAGUGACCCAGUGCCCAGCUGGAACCUGGCAGCAGCAAGGGGAGUCUCUGUCCAAUUGCACAAGUUCAGCUGCACGUAGGGAAGCUUCUGCUCCAAGGCCUGCCCGGGAGGUCAUCUCUGCACGCAAGCGGCCGCACUUGCAUCAGCUGAGCAGUGAGAAGUGGACAGGCCCUCUGGCCUGGGAGUUCCGAGGCCCUGCCUGUGGCCAGCUGGAGCCUUCCCUGCCGGCAGCAGAGGCAGCGGCAGUGAGUGUUCGGGCCCCGUCUAAGCCUCCAUACCCACAUGUCCUUUUCAACCACCACCUCAACUCCAACAGCAGCUUCAGGAAAAAUUUCUAGAGUUGUUCACACUAGAAGUUUGAAUCAGCUGUGCUUUUCUUUCAGUUAGAGGAGUCCUUACCACAGAUUCUAGAAAUCAAGCCCAGAAACUCGUUAACGAGAAAAACCAGAGGCACUGUGCUGAAAGCCUCAUGGCACCAAGCCUAGACUUCCCCGGUCAGCCCACUGAGCUGAUCUGUCACACAGCCCUCUUCUAUCGCCACGGAAGCUGGCCUUGUCAGAAACGGACCUUUUGCCAGCAGCUUUCACGUCCUGUCCAGUUUUGCCUAUAAAAAGCUUUCCGUUGUCCGGCUUCUCAGAGCAACUCUAUUUACUAGAUGGGCUGCUGCCUGAUUCAGGAACCACUUAAUAAAGCCUAUUAGCUCUUCAAAUUUAUUCAAUUGAAGUUUUGUUCUUUAACAUUCAAAUCCAUGUCUUUCAAAUCCAUGUCUUUUCCUACCCAUCUCUAAGUAACUGAAAACCUUCAAGGUUUAAAGGGUGGUGACCUUGCUGGCCCUUGGGUGGUGGCGCCUUUCCCCUACCCUGCCUCCACCAUUCAUGGCCCGUCUGGGUUGCUAGUGAGGGGGUACAGAGACCAAAAUACUACCAUGGCAAACAUGUUAGAGAUACAGCAGGGUCACCGUAGGAAGCCUGGCACAGGUGCCAAGAACUGGGCCGAGCCCAUGCGGAGGAACAGUCAGCUGCAGCCACAAGGCAGAAGUGGCUCAGGUGAAGUGAGAGGAAGGAGAAGCUGUGCACAAAGUCAAAGGAUUUCUACAAAAGAGAGAGAGAAUCAUGGGCUGGUCACCAGCAUCCUUCCAUGGGGGAAGGACUGGUGUCUGCAGCAGUUGAGGGGGUCCCCUGGACUCCCCCCACCUGACAGGGUUUAGGUGGAAAAGCUGUGAGGCUGCCUCAGGUAGUCAAUAACACAGAGCCAAUCAUAUCAGAUCUUUCUGCUUUUCUCUUAAAACCACCUUGGUCGGCCUCCUGCUCUCCACAAUGCACUACAGUUAGUAUCACAUAAGCCUUUCUUAUAGGCCAGGAAGGACUUGCCAUCAAUGCAUCGAAAUCACAACAGUUUAAACUGGUCUCAUGUUGUAGGUCCACAGUCAAAAAGGAUCUGCCCUCCACAGCUCAUCCUCACUCUCUCCAAACCUUAUGCACCUUAAAGCUGGGGAGAAUUCCCUAGCAAGCAUGUACUAGCCUGGGGAGGGAACAACUGGUUUGUCUUCCACAGAGUGCAAGAAGCGGCUGAGGCAUUCAAGUUGGGCCAACAGGGACCCAGACUUAACAGACCUUGGGCAGCCCAUUCCCAGUUGGAGCCUCCAUAAAAUAAGGUUGGACAAGUUGAUUUCUAAGCCUGUUUUCAGCAUAGCCUUUUCCAGAGCCUGAGUCACGUAGCACAAAACAGCAAAGGUCCUGUGUGGUGGGCUUGCAAAUAGGGAGACAAAGAGCACUUCCUCAUUUAACACAUUAUCCCUGAAUUUCAAGCCAGUAACAACUUCUCAUGAUCAGAGAAGAAAAAGACUUUCCAAGGAUGGGGAGAGAACACACCAUGUUGGAGUUAGUAAAAACUACCCUUUGGGUCUACAUUAAGAAUUUUCCAAGGUAGUUUGUACUUGAUUUUGAACUCAUUUGCUGACUUGAAAACUAAUGCCCUACUAAGAGGGGAAUUCCCAGUGUAUGAGCUACAUUUCAAACUAUAUUACAAAGUUGAACACAAAAUUCAAUCCCACGUGUAUAUGGUCAUAAUAUGACAAAGGAACCAAGAAUAAAUAAUAUGAAACUAAACCACCAUCUUAUACCGCACACAAAAAUGGCCUCAAAAUGGAUUAAGUGCUUGUAUGUAAGAUGUGAAGCUCUAAAACUCCUAGCAGAAAACAGGUGGUAAGAUCCUUAUGUCUUGGCAAUGAUGUUUUUAGAUUUUACACCAAAAACAAAAGUAAGUGGGACUAGUGGGACUACAACAAAGGAAAUGAACAAAAGGAAGAGGCAACCUACUGAAUUGGAGAAAAUACUUGGUAAGCCAUAUACUUGAUGGAUUAAUACCCAAAAUAUAUAGAGAACUUAUAACUCAAUAGCAAAAAAAUACACAUCCCAAACAAGCAGAUUAAAAAAUGGGCAAAGGAUCUGAAAAGAUAUUUUUCCAAAGAGGAUAUACCAGUGGCCAAUGAGUACACAAAAAGAUGUUCAGCAUCACUAAUCACAGAAGUGCACAGAGAAGACAUCACCUCAUGCCUGUUAAAAUGCCUGGUAUCAAAAGGAGGAGGUGAAUGCUGGUGAGGGUGUAGAGCAGAGCGAGCCCUUGUGUACUUGGUGGGAUUGUGCAGACGGGGGUAUGAGGGACCCCACCAUCCUGAGAACAAUGGGGGAGGCUAGAUGAGAGGCAGCUGCUCUUCCCCACACAAGUCCCCAGAGUGAGUUUGUACUUAGCUGGCCAUUGGGGGGAAGUGGGGACCACAGGCUUUCAGAAGUGUCCUAGGAUACAAUCAGGGCAGGAGCCUGAGACUUAAGGCUCCCCACCUGGUAGCAUAGGACCUUUCCUGUUUUGUGCUGUGUGACCCAGCUCUGGAAAAGGCUAUGCUGACACUCUAAGCAGCUAGGUUUCUAUGUUCUUGACUACAGUCACAGGUUUCCCUGUGACAAGGGUCUGUAGCUUAGGAGAGCACAGAAGCACACACAGCACCUGGACAAAGGUUCUUCCUCCCUCGCCAUCCUCCCGUUUUCCCUCAGACCUUACCUGAGAAAAAGGAAGAUGGUUCUAGGGGACUCAGCCUUGUGGUUCUCCAGGACCUGGCGUUCCAGAUGUGGCCCAAGGGCCUCCAGCAGCCCUGGGUGCAGCUUCUCAGCCUCAUCAAAAAUGAACAGGGUCUGGUGGCAAUGCUCCUGCGUCUUCCUCACCUGUUCCGUCAGCUGCUCCUGCACAGAAAACGGAGCAGUUGGGGACCCCUAGCGGCACAGGGCCCUGGUGAGGCGCCCUUUUACCCUGGUGAAGCAUCUGCAGUGAUUGCCUAGGGCUGGGUUCUACUGGUGGAGGUGGGGCUAUCCUGGGAGAGGGAGAAAGAGACGGCCUUGCCUGCUCUUGGUUAACAGCAGGCCCUACUCCCUCCCCUCCAGGAAGAGGUCUCAGAACUAAGAGCCAACUCGCCCUCCCCAACGGAUAGGAAUCAGGCUCUAAUACAGGGGUCAAAGGUAGAGACAAGCUCAAGUGCCAGAGGCAGCCACAGUCCCACUUGAACUUCCAGGAGCAGAGCUCCCACUGCGAAGGACCUAUCUGAGUCUACUUGGCCUACUUGGAACUGGGGCUUCCCAUUCAGGCAAGAAUCUCUUUUGAAAAGAUGCCGCUUUGUGGGGUUCACCAGAUCAGGGCCAGCUCUGCCCCAGGGUGGGGUGUUUUAGCAGAGCCCAUACUCACUGUUGCCUGUAGCCUUCCUGGAUCCUGACGUCAGUGCCCUGUGACCCGAGUGUGUAAUAUGUGCAAGGUGUGAGUGUGUACAUGUCAUUUUUCAUGGUGAGGAAGCCACAGUCAAAGCUGUUCUGGGAAGGCCUGGUUGACCAGUUGCCUGCCUUUAGGACAGUUCACCCUACCCUGCCCUCUGAGGCCACACUGAAACUGCCAAGUGACUCAGGCAAUCGCUCCUCAAAUGCUUACCUCAUCUUCCCAGGUUAUCGCAUUCCAGGUAUUGGCCUGGAAAGCCAGAGACAGACAUUGUCCAGCUUACUUUAAAUACUACAUCUAAUGGAAGAAAACCAAACUAACAGAGCAGCAGACGUUUUUUCUCUCUCCAUUUGGGGGAAAUCACUUACGAUAUGAUAGUAUGCAACUUUCUGUCCACUCUAAUGACGGUGACAUCAAGCAGCAUAAGGAAAGGCUUGCAGGAAGCACACCAAAUGCUAACUAUUUGUGUCCGUGUGGGGAGGUCAUGAUAAAGCUUUUGCCUUCCUCUGUACCACAUUUCCUGUAACUUCCACUACUAUCACAGAAAAUUAACACAUGGACUCUUUAAGCUCAGUGUCUGGCAGGUAAGGAGACAGCUCGGGACAAGUGGUGUGGAGCCUGUCAGUCCUCCACAUGCUCGGGUCCUCCUCUGUGUGGAGUGGAUGUUUCUGCGGGCUACAGGUUCUGCUGAAAUGGACCCUGUCCCCCAAGCCGCAUACCUAGGCUUCUCGAGAGCCCAUCCCCCAGCACAGAGGGCUGCGCCUCGGGCCGUCCAAGCCUCUCUCCAGCCCCAGCACUGCACUGCCAGCCUCACCUUGUACAGGUCCACGUACUUGGGGUGAGGGAAGUGCAUCAUAGUGAUGAACACCUUGACACAGUCACUCCUCAGCCCAUCCCGGUACAGGUUCUCCGCCAGCAGCCGAGCCACGAAGUUCUUGCCUGUGCCAGACCAGCCGUGGAACGACAGAGCCAGGGCCUUGUCCGGCCGGGGCAGCUCCAAGUAGCUCCUCACUGUGGUCAGGACCAGCUCCCGGGCCAGGUGCUGGCCGUGCAGCCGCACACUCAGGUCCGACUGCAGGCCUGGGGGUAGGAAAGAGGCCACAAUGAGAGGUGCACAAAGUGCAGUCCCCACCAGGCGGGCAGCAGCCGAGAGUGAACAUCGCUGAGGUGGGAGCACUUUGGCCUCAGAACAAGCCCUGGGCACACCUGGCAGCACCAGGGACCCUAGGGCUCUUUUCUGAAGAGUGGAGAAGUCACCAUUGAACUCGGAGAGAGAAAGGAUUCAU